CCUACGGGUGGCUGCAGUGAGGAAUAUUGGUCAAUGGGCUUACGCCUGAACCAGCAACGCCGCGUGAACGAGACGCCCUUCGGGGUGUAAAGUUCUGUCAGUGGGGACGAAAAAUGACGGUACCCACAGAGGAAGCACCGGCUAACUCCGUGCCAGCAGCCGCGGUAAUACGGAGGGUGCAAGCGUUGUCCGGAAUCAUUGGGCGUAAAGAGUUCGUAGGCGGCAUGUAAAGUCAGGUGUUAAAGGCGCAGGCUCAACCUGUGUAUGGCACUUGAUACUUGCAAGCUGGAAUGCGGUAGAGGUAAAGGGAAUUCCUGGUGUAGCGGUGAAAUGCUGAGAUAUCAGGAGGAACAUCGGUGGCGUAAGCGCUUUACUGGGCCGUAAUUGACGCUGAGGAACGAAAGCCAGGGUAGCAAAUGGGAUUAGAUACCCUUGUAGUC
Molecule: ribosomal RNA, 440 nt
Filed under: uncultured bacterium
Lineage: Bacteria
Description: partial 16S ribosomal RNA
Rfam family: Bacterial small subunit ribosomal RNA
Source: RNAcentral